GCUGAGCUGGAUUAAAUCGGUGCUCUAGCGGGUGGGGCAGACCUGGGCUAGCAGGCCUCAGGGAGAACUCCAAUGGCGUCUGUGUCAGCACGCCCACACCAGGCCACAACAAUGGCCGCCGCCAAUGUCCCAGUCCCUGGAGAGGUCUCACCCCUCACCGAGAUGCACUCAGGGACUAUUAGUGUCCUUGGAAUUCAAGUCUGGAGAAUGGUAGAGCCACACAUUUGAAGAAUCCUGUGUUGCUAAAUCACCCCUUGAGAUGGAUCCCAUGCUCACAGGAUAUCAUAUCCAAGUGGCAUUUCAGUUGCACCUUCAAAUGGCCAUCCCUUUGCCUGAUUAAGCCAGCAUCUUCUGAGUGCCAAUUGGUACAAUAUGUGAUAGAACUCUUGGAUCUUAAGUCGUGUGUUGCAAAUUUUUUUUAUAUAAAAUGAGCCCCUUAAUCCAAUUCAGUAUUAUUCAGAAUGUGUCGAUGAAGUAAAUACUCUGUCAUUCAGUGGUUCUGGUCAAGAACCUGUGUGAAGAAAAGGUGCCAUGGUCUGAAUGUUUAUGUCCUCCCAAAAUCCAUAUGCUGAAAUCCUAAUAGCCAAUGUGAUGGUAUUAGGAGAUAGGGGUUUGGGGAGGUGCUUAGGUCAUGAAGGUGGAGCCCUCAUGAAUAGGAUUAGUGUUUUUAUA
Diceros bicornis minor is the source of this 672-nucleotide long non-coding RNA. RefSeq lists it as uncharacterized. The record is from RefSeq and is a predicted model, not a curated record. Lineage: Eukaryota; Metazoa; Chordata; Mammalia; Perissodactyla; Rhinocerotidae. The transcript has 3 exons.